CUUCCACAGUGUCAUUCUAAGCUUCAUGCCAAAGAAUGUGGUUUUCCCUUUAAUUGGAAUGCUGUGCAAGGCUGUACCUGGCUGCCAUGCAUUUCAACAAGAAUGCAGAGUGAGACCAAGCAACAACUUCCAAGGUCAAAGUUGUCUACAGGAUAAUGUUCCCAAAGUCCAACAAGGAAGAAUGCACAGCAAAGCCAACAUUCAAGAUUUUGCUGAAUCCAGUGAGGGACAUUAUAAAUGCAGAAAAUAAUGACUUGUGAAUCCCAGAGAACAGGAUACUAACUCUGAUAUUGAC
Thunnus maccoyii (southern bluefin tuna) is the source of this 295-nucleotide long non-coding RNA. RefSeq lists it as uncharacterized. The transcript has 3 exons. The record is from RefSeq and is a predicted model, not a curated record. Lineage: Eukaryota; Metazoa; Chordata; Actinopteri; Scombriformes; Scombridae.